UUUGUGUUACUAUACAAUUCCUCUUUUAUUAAUCUUUUGUAUGAAAAGGGUUACACAUCACAGAUCUACUUUGGAUUUUCAACUUUUGUGAGCUUUGUAUAAUUCGUUUAACUUGUCUUUUACAUAUUGUGUUUGGUCAAUGCAUUCUGCCCACCCAAAUUACCAAAUUUCUCAUCAUUAUGAAAUUCAAGUUGUCUUCCAUGUUGCUCAAGUAGGUAGUACAUGAAAUCAGCUGUCGCUACAUUGUAAAAUUGCCUCAGAAGAAUCUUACUAUCAUAAAGGACUCUGCUUGACCACAAAAAAAAAAGGGACAAACACACACACACACAAUCCUUAUUGAGCCAUGUUAGGUUGAGUUUGCAGAAACUGAUGCGGUA
Non-coding RNA from Arachis ipaensis, 377 nucleotides. NCBI's taxonomy places the organism in Eukaryota, Viridiplantae, Streptophyta, Magnoliopsida, Fabales, Fabaceae. The record is from RefSeq and is a predicted model, not a curated record.